This 253-nucleotide ribosomal RNA is filed under the name uncultured bacterium. RNAcentral's name for it is "partial 16S ribosomal RNA". It matches the Rfam family "Bacterial small subunit ribosomal RNA", at positions 524 to 776 of the family's 1533-position model. The record is from RNAcentral.
UACGUAGGUGGCGAGCGUUGUCCGGAAUUACUGGGUGUAAAGGGCGUGUAGGCGGGGAUAUAAGUCAGAUGUGAAAUACCAUGGCUCAACUGUGGGGGUGCAUCUGAAACUAUGUUUCUUGAGUGCUGGAGAGGAAAGCGGAAUUCCUAGUGUAGCGGUGAAAUGCGUAGAUAUCCGGAGGAACACCGGUGGCGAAGGCGGCUUCCUGGACCGACACUGACGCUGAGGCGCGAAAGCUAGGGGAGCAAACGGG